Vigna angularis (adzuki bean) is the source of this 221-nucleotide small nucleolar RNA. It matches the Rfam family "Plant small nucleolar RNA U3". Rfam says of the family: Small nucleolar RNAs (snoRNAs) are involved in the processing and modification of rRNA in the nucleolus. There are two main classes of snoRNAs: the box C/D class, and the box H/ACA class. NCBI's taxonomy places the organism in Eukaryota, Viridiplantae, Streptophyta, Magnoliopsida, Fabales, Fabaceae. The record is from Rfam.
ACGACCUUACUUGAACAGGAUCUGUUCUAUAGGCUCGUACCUCUGUAUCCUUAAGUUCUAAGGAGACAGGAACUGAAGUCUGGUGGAUGAACCAUGACCCUGUGAUCAGAGCGUGAUUGACGGUAGUGGUGGUCUUCUCUGCGGACUAGGCUCAUCACCAACUGUAGAGGAUCGUUCCCGUUCUUACGAAUUGGGAUGGUCGCAGGGUUGUCUGACAGACU